AAAAAACUUUACACUGACAAUGUAUAAAUGAUUAACUCUUUAUUUAUUAAUACUUGCUUUUUGUUAGAUUUUAAACUUAUAUUACCUCCUUGAUUCACACAAGUAGUAUGUUGCUUUUUUUUUUUAUAGCACUAUUUACAUUUGCCCAACAACCAAUUCUGUAUGCAAACCUAGCAAGCAAGCCGUCACGUUUGCCUAGUCGGAAAAGUGAAGAGCCAAAUGAAACAAGCAUAUAUCAUAUUGUCUAAUUGUUUCAUAUUUGCUUUUAUAAAUACGCCUGUCUAUUUUUUGUUUUAUUUAGUACAUAAUCUUAAUGUAUAUUUUCAGAUAUGUAAUGAAUAUUUCAUGCUGUCGAACAAAGAUGUUGAAUACAUUGGAGGGGAUUUCAGUCAUUGGAGAUGUCUCUACUUUCCUUAGGAACUCCCUUUCAUGCAGCUGUCACUUGUGCAUUAAUGGUCUACCUCAAAGACUGUAUCUAAUAGAAGAUGCAGUUGAUCUAAUGAGCAGGCAGAAGCGAAAGCUUAAGAUGCAAAGAAGGCUUUUUUUUUUAUGUUUAUAUAAUGCCCCCUUUCUUCUUUUUAUUUGUAUUUGUUAUGCUCAUUUUAAUCUCUAACUAGUCUUAUGGACAGAUGUUUUAUAUAAAAUAGUUGAUACCGUAUUAAUUUGGACAAAUGUAUCCAAAGCCUUGGUGGUCCCAGACAACAUUAUGGGAGGUGGAACACUCUUGAUGUUUGUGAUCGAGCAAUGUUAGAGAGCUUACCAUUGAGGUCUUUGAAGAGAACUGUGAGUGAGAAGAUAAAAACCAUAACACUAUUACAUAUACGGAUGAUAUUUACAAAGUAAUAUUUAUUUUAAUUUUAAGUUUUU
Molecule: non-coding RNA, 867 nt
Organism: Cajanus cajan (pigeon pea)
Lineage: Eukaryota; Viridiplantae; Streptophyta; Magnoliopsida; Fabales; Fabaceae
Source: RefSeq, a predicted model, not a curated record